This 70-nucleotide transfer RNA is filed under the name Ocinebrellus falcatus. RNAcentral describes it as "tRNA-Glu". Lineage: Eukaryota; Metazoa; Mollusca; Gastropoda; Neogastropoda; Muricidae. The record is from RNAcentral.
GUUUCUAUGGUGUAAAUAAUGCACAUUAGAUUUUCAUUCUAAAGGAAUAAAUUUAAUUUAUUAGAAAUAC